UUCAACUUGGUCCCACCGCGGUUCCUGAAAGGUUGUUUGUAGUAAUUCCAGAAGGAUGACGGUGUUGGCUUUUCUGCUAGUCAGUACUUCUCUUUCAAAGUACUGCCAGAUGUGCAAAAUGAUACCUUUUUUUUUCCAAUGGUGGAAGAAGAAGAAGAAGUAGUAGUUGGAUUCUCAAAGAUUCUGAGAAGUAACUUGAAACUCAAGUUGUCAAAUGUAGAGUAAAAAGGUCUGUUCCUCUGGAGUUCUUUGAUGCAAAGAAACUACUUUCCAUUCAGAGUGAGAGCAGACCAAGGAGCUGGGAAUGUGGGUAUUUGAGGCUGUGAUAGAGGGAGAGCUUCAUCUCAUGGUGGAAAUGUGUGAAUACCCCAAGCCUUCGGCAAGGCAGGCUGCAUGUUUUCUGGGCACAGUACACUUUGUUUGCCCCAAGUUGAUCUGGAUAUUCACUGAGGAACCACCCUUUACUCUGAACAGAAUGCUAGACCC
Long non-coding RNA from Monopterus albus (swamp eel), 486 nucleotides. RefSeq lists it as uncharacterized. Lineage: Eukaryota; Metazoa; Chordata; Actinopteri; Synbranchiformes; Synbranchidae. The transcript has 6 exons. The record is from RefSeq and is a predicted model, not a curated record.